RNAcentral lists this non-coding RNA (29 nucleotides) under Mus musculus (house mouse). The record is from RNAcentral. Lineage: Eukaryota; Metazoa; Chordata; Mammalia; Rodentia; Muridae.
UGGAACUCACAUGGAAUCAUCUGGGCUGC